UACGAAGGGGGCUAGCGUUGCUCGGAAUUACUGGGCGUAAAGCGCACGUAGGUGGCUUUUUAAGUCGGGGGUGAAAUCCUGGAGCUCAACUCCAGAACUGCCCUCGAUACUGGGAAGCUUGAGUUCGGGAGAGGUGAGUGGAACUGCGAGUGUAGAGGUGAAAUUCGUAGAUAUUCGCAAGAACACCAGUGGCGAAGGCGGCUCACUGGCCCGAUACUGACGCUGAGGCGCGAAAGCGUGGGGAGCGAACAGG
RNAcentral lists this ribosomal RNA (253 nucleotides) under uncultured bacterium. RNAcentral's name for it is "partial 16S ribosomal RNA". It matches the Rfam family "Bacterial small subunit ribosomal RNA", at positions 524 to 776 of the family's 1533-position model. The record is from RNAcentral.